GCCGGGUGCGGUGGCGCGCGCCUGUAAUCCAAGUUACCGGGAGGCUGAGGCUGGCGGAUCGUUUGAGCUCAGGAGUUCUGAGCUGCAGCGGACUAUGCCGAUCGGGUGUCCGCACUAAGUUCGGCAUCGAUAUGGUGCUCCUGGGGGAGCCCGGGACCACCAGGUCGUCUAAGGAGGGGUGCACCGGCCCAGGCCGGAGACGGAGCAGGCCAAAUCCCCCGUGCCGCUCAGUAGUGGGAUCGCGCCUGUGAAUAGACGCUGUAGUGCAGCCUGAGUAAUACAGCGGGACCCAGUCUUUU
This 299-nucleotide signal recognition particle RNA is filed under the name Sander lucioperca (pikeperch). Its description in RNAcentral is "Metazoan signal recognition particle RNA (ENSSLUG00000024067.1)". It matches the Rfam family "Metazoan signal recognition particle RNA". From Rfam's summary of the family: The signal recognition particle (SRP) is a universally conserved ribonucleoprotein. Lineage: Eukaryota; Metazoa; Chordata; Actinopteri; Perciformes; Percidae. The record is from Rfam by way of RNAcentral.